UGGGAUAAGCGUUGGAAACGACGUCUAAUACCGGAUACGAGCUGCGAAGGCAUCUUCAGCAGCUGGAAAGAACUUCGGUCAGGGAUGAGCUCGCGGCCUAUCAGCUAGUUGGUGAGGUAAUGGCUCACCAAGGCGUCGACGGGUAGCCGGCCUGAGAGGGUGACCGGCCACACUGGGACUGAGACACGGCCCAGACUCCUACGGGAGGCAGCAGUGGGGAAUAUUGCACAAUGGGCGAAAGCCUGAUGCAGCAACGCCGCGUGAGGGACGACGGCCUUCGGGUUGUAAACCUCUUUUAGCAGGGAAGAAGCGAAAGUGACGGUACCUGCAGAAAAAGCACCGGCUAACUACGUGCCAGCAGCCGCGGUAAUACGUAGGGUGCAAGCGUUAUCCGGAAUUAUUGGGCGUAAAGAGCUCGUAGGCGGUUUGUCGCGUCUGCUGUGAAACCCCGAGGCUCAACCUCGGGCCUGCAGUGGGUACGGGCAGACUAGAGUGCGGUAGGGGAGAUUGGAAUUCCUGGUGUAGCGGUGGAAUGCGCAGAUAUCAGGAGGAACACCGAUGGCGAAGGCAGAUCUCUGGGCCGUAACUGACGCUGAGGAGCGAAAGGGUGGGGAGCAAACAGGCUUAGAUACCCUGGUAGUCCACCCCGUAAACGUUGGGAACUAGUUGUGGGGUCCAUUCCACGGAUUCCGUGACGCAGCUAACGCAUUAAGUUCCCCGCCUGGGGAGUACGGCCGCAAGGCUAAAACUCAAAGGAAUUGACGGGGACCCGCACAAGCGGCGGAGCAUGCGGAUUAAUUCGAUGCAACGCGAAGAACCUUACCAAGGCUUGACAUAUACGAGAACGCUGCAGAAAUGUAGAACUCUUUGGACACUCGUAAACAGGUGGUGCAUGGUUGUCGUCAGCUCGUGUCGUGAGAUGUUGGGUUAAGUCCCGCAACGAGCGCAACCCUCGUUCUAUGUUGCCAGCACGUAAUGGUGGGAACUCAUGGGAUACUGCCGGGGUCAACUCGGAGGAAGGUGGGGAUGACGUCAAAUCAUCAUGCCCCUUAUGUCUUGGGCUUCACGCAUGCUACAAUGGCCGGUACAAAGGGCUGCAAUACCGUAAGGUGGAGCGAAUCCCAAAAAGCCGGUCCCAGUUCGGAUUGAGGUCUGCAACUCGACCUCAUGAAGUAGGAGUC
RNAcentral lists this ribosomal RNA (1181 nucleotides) under Microbacterium sp. RNAcentral describes it as "bacterial SSU rRNA". It matches the Rfam family "Bacterial small subunit ribosomal RNA", at positions 139 to 1333 of the family's 1533-position model. Lineage: Bacteria; Bacillati; Actinomycetota; Actinomycetes; Micrococcales; Microbacteriaceae. The record is from RNAcentral.